Molecule: long non-coding RNA, 413 nt
Organism: Carassius carassius (crucian carp)
Lineage: Eukaryota; Metazoa; Chordata; Actinopteri; Cypriniformes; Cyprinidae
Exons: 4
Source: RefSeq, a predicted model, not a curated record
UAUUUUUCCAGUGAAGAGGAAGUUCGGAGUAAGGUGUUUGCUGAGAAAAUGGGACUGGAGACGGGAUAGAACUGUCACAUCUCCCUCCAAUCAGAGAGCUUCCCUCUCACCCAGAAAACGUGCAGGAGCCGGUGACCGAGGAAGAGGAAGAAAUUCUGCUGAGACACAGUGUCAGAGAGAGGGCAGAGUCAAGAGCAAUGGAGCAUGAUGGAGCAUGUCUCAUCGAGGACCUAAACAGGGCCAAACUUCCAAGAGGAAUAGAGAAUGUGAGGCCACAUCUGGAGAACAUUGAUAAUGUUCCGUUACUGGUCCCUUUAUUUACAGACUGCACAUCACAGAGUAAGACACUUACAAAUGCAAACACACACACACAGUGUUACAACAUUUAUUUAUUUAUUUAUUUUAUUUGUUGG